This 450-nucleotide ribosomal RNA is filed under the name uncultured bacterium. Its description in RNAcentral is "bacterial SSU rRNA". It matches the Rfam family "Bacterial small subunit ribosomal RNA", at positions 354 to 796 of the family's 1533-position model. The record is from RNAcentral.
GUGGGGAAUUUUGGACAAUGGGGGCAACCCUGAUCCAGCCAUUCCGCGUGAGUGAAGAAGGCCUUCGGGUUGUAAAGCUCUUUCGGCAGGAACGAAACGGUGAGCUCUAACAUAGCUCGCUAAUGACGGUACCUGAAGAAGAAGCACCGGCUAACUACGUGCCAGCAGCCGCGGUAAUACGUAGGGUGCGAGCGUUAAUCGGAAUUACUGGGCGUAAAGCGUGCGCAGGCGGUUGUGUAAGACAGGUGUGAAAUCCCCGGGCUUAACCUGGGAACUGCGCUUGUGACUGCACGGCUAGAGUAUGGCAGAGGGGGGUGGAAUUCCACGUGUAGCAGUGAAAUGCGUAGAGAUGUGGAGGAACACCGAUGGCGAAGGCAGCCCCCUGGGCCAAUACUGACGCUCAUGCACGAAAGCGUGGGGAGCAAACAGGAUUAGAAACCCGUGUAGUCC